Meriones unguiculatus (Mongolian gerbil) is the source of this 1721-nucleotide long non-coding RNA. RefSeq lists it as uncharacterized. The record is from RefSeq and is a predicted model, not a curated record. NCBI's taxonomy places the organism in Eukaryota, Metazoa, Chordata, Mammalia, Rodentia, Muridae. The transcript is spliced from 5 exons.
AUGGGAAGGGGUGGAGGCAGCUUUGGGAAAGGGAUGGGCGUGGAUUUGGGCAGCCAAGAGCAACGGUGAUAGCCUGUAUCUUUGGGGGUUGUGGGGUCCUUCCUGCCCAACCACAGCAGAAGAAGAAACCCAUCCCUGGCACGGGGAUUUUUAUUUGUCAGCCUCUAGUGUCUAGCAGAAACGUUGUUGCCCUGUUAAAAGGAGUGACACCAACAUUGGAGGACUCACCCCAACCCACUGACUUGAAAACCCCAGCGAACAGCCAGGCAGCCCGAAGAAGACCUCCAGGUGAUGCAGAGGACACUGCCCUAUCACAAACCCCCGUCAGCAGACACACAUCCUACUUAAUGUAGAAACUUGGAGAGACUCCCUGUUAGGCAGUGCUGUGUUUCGGCCGUCAUCACCGGGAAUGCCGAGGCCAUCCAAGUCAAAGCAAAGGAGAAUUUCUGUACUCACCGUUGCCUACCAAAUGAGUAGAACAACUUUACGCUUCCUUCUCGGCUGUGAUGGCUUACUGGUGUGAUUGAAAACAAGCAAACUCCCAGGCAAGAGAACAACUUCACCUUCUGUCGUUCUGCUCGCUCUUUGGAUACAUCACCACCUCCUGGUCUCUGCCUUUGUUCUUAGCAUGUUCUGAGACGUUAGCGGGCAAUGGACUGGGAGAAGAGGCAUGAACUAAGUCAGGUCUGGCUGCAAGUCAUUGGAAAACAUGGGCUCGCUUCGAACUUCCGUCUGUCGCUGUCCGCUCCUGCCUGGCCUCCCGGCUGCCGCAGCCCUGCUGCUAACGGGCAACAUCCCCUGGACCACAGCGCUUCUUAAUGAACACCCCCCCCCCCGCAAAGCAUCCUCAUUGAGCACUCACAAAACAAGUUAACUUAUGAAGAGCUCCCUAGGCCUCCCAGCGUUCCCUCUGCCCACUGACGGCCACUCUUGGCUGUGCUCUCUCAUGGGGUGCUGUGCUUUGUAGCUGGAGUAAGCCUCGGCAAAGUGGCUUAGACCGGGGAGGGGAGAGUGAGCUGUUAGGUCCAAUCAGCACUUCCAGGAGUUACCAUGACAUUCUUGAUUCCAGCACGUAGAACGUCUGGUAGCAUCAGCCAUACUUCAACACUCUGCUGAGCACAUUUUUCAAAGCACUUUCCAACUGUUCUAGCAGUUUGGAGCUGUAGCCCCUUGCAGUAGCUGUAGAAACGCAUUGUUGGGCUUUCUCCUCAGCUGUCUGCAUCGGCAGGUACCCCAGCUGUAAAGUGCUGUCUUACCAGAGCCCUGUUCUGUCUGCACCCAGCGUCUGAGUGAGGUGGGCAAGUGAUGGACCCGUCCAGAGCCCCAGGAUUCCAUCAGUCUUCAGAAGGUGCAGCCUUCCUUCUGCCAGAUCUAGCUUUCUCCCCACUGCCUUCACAGAGGUCCACCCCCCCCCCCCCCGUAACCCCGUAACUGCCUUGUGCCCUGUGGUGGUUUGAAUGAGAAUGACCUCCGGGGUUCAUAUGCUUAUUUAAAUGCUUGAUCCCUGGUUGUUAGAAUUGUUUGGGAAGGAUUAGGAGGCGUAUCCUUGGGCCUUGGGGUUGCAAAAGUGUAAGGCAUUUCCAGUUACCUCUCCCUAUUUUUGUUGUACCUCAAGAUGGAAGCUUUCUGCAGCUGCCUGGGCCCCAUGCCCGCCUGCCUGCUGUCCUGUUCUCUGCCAUGAUGAUCAUGGACUCUAACCCUUGGAUCCACAACCCUGAAUU